RNAcentral lists this ribosomal RNA (536 nucleotides) under uncultured bacterium. RNAcentral describes it as "bacterial SSU rRNA". It matches the Rfam family "Bacterial small subunit ribosomal RNA", at positions 355 to 895 of the family's 1533-position model. The record is from RNAcentral.
UAGGGAAUAUUCCACAAUGAGCGAAAGCUUGAUGGAGCGACACAGCGUGCACGAUAAAGGCCCUCGGGUUGUAAAGUGCUGUUGCAAGGGAAGAACACUUAGUUGAGGAAAUGCAACUAAGCUGACGGUACCUUGUUAGAAAGCGAUGGCUAACUAUGUGCCAGCAGCCGCGGUAAUACAUAGGUCGCAAGCGUUAUCCGGAAUUAUUGGGCGUAAAGCGUUCGUAGGCUGUUUAUUAAGUCUGGAGUCAAAUCCCAGGGCUCAACCCUGGCUCGCUUUGGAUACUGGUAAACUAGAGUUGGAUAGAGGUAAGCGGAAUUCCAUGCGAAGCGGUGAAAUGCGUAGAUAUAUGGAAGAACACCAAAGGCGAAGGCAGCUUACUGGGUCUAUACUGACGCUGAGGGACGAAAGCGUGGGGAGCAAACAGGAUUAGAUACCCUGGUAGUCCACGCCGUAACGAUGAUCAUUAGUCGGUGGGAGCCACUGACGCAGCUAACGCAUUAAAUGAUCCGCCUGAGUAGUAUGCUCGCAAGAGU